GUCGAGAAUAAUUCACAAUGGGGGAAACCCUGAUGGUGCAACGCCGCGUGGAGGAUGAAGGUCUUCGGAUUGUAAACUCCUGUCAUCUGGGAGUAAGACCUGACGGUGAAUAGCCGGCAGGGUUGAUAGUACCAGAAGAGGAAGGGACGGCUAACUUCGUGCCAGCAGCCGCGGUAAUACGAAGGUCCCAAGCGUUGUUCGGAAUCACUGGGCGUAAAGGGAGCGUAGGCGGCGUGGUAAGUCAGAUGUGAAAUCCCGGGGCUCAACCCCGGAACUGCAUCCGAUACUGCCAUGCUUGAGGGUUGGAGAGGUAGCUGGAAUUCUCGGUGUAGCAGUGAAAUGCGUGGAUAUCGAGAGGAACACUCGUGGCGAAGGCGAGCUACUGGACAACAUCUGACGCUGAGGCUCGAAGGCUAGGGGAGCAAAAGGGAUUAGAUACCCUUGUAGUCC
Molecule: ribosomal RNA, 450 nt
Filed under: uncultured bacterium
Lineage: Bacteria
Description: partial 16S ribosomal RNA
Rfam family: Bacterial small subunit ribosomal RNA
Source: RNAcentral